This 497-nucleotide ribosomal RNA is filed under the name uncultured bacterium. Its description in RNAcentral is "partial 16S ribosomal RNA". It matches the Rfam family "Bacterial small subunit ribosomal RNA", at positions 28 to 507 of the family's 1533-position model. The record is from RNAcentral.
GAUGAACGCUGGCGGCGUGCCUAAUACAUGCAAGUCGAGCGAACGGACGAGAAGCUUGCUUCUCUGAUGUUAGCGGCGGACGGGUGAGUAACACGUGUAUAACCUACCUAUAAGACUGGGAUAACUUCGGGAAACCGUAUCUAAUACCGGAUAAUAUUUUGAACCGCAUUGUUCAAAAGUGAAAGACGGUCUUGCUGUCACUUAUAGAUGGAUCCGCGCUGCAUUAGCUAGUUGGUAAGGUAACGGCUUACCAAGGCAACGAUGCAUAGCCGACCUGAGAGAGUGAUCGGCCACACUGGAACUGAGACGCGGACCAGACUCCUACGGGAGGCAGCAGUAGGGAAUCUUCCGCAGUGGGCGAAAGCCUGACGGAGCAACGCCGCGUGAGUGAUGAAGGUCUUCGGAUCGUAAAACUCUGUUAUUAGGGAAGAACAUAUGUGUAAGUAACUGUGCACAUCUUGACGGUACCUAAUCAGAAAGCCACGGCUAACUACGUG